GAAAUUUUUCAACGGCCGCGGUAUCCUAACCGUGCUAAGGUAGCAUAAUCAAUUGUCCUCUAAUUAAGGACUUGUAUGAAUGGUUUGACGUAGAUUAACCUGUCUCUAUACUACUGACUAUAAAUUAAUUUAAAAGUGAAAAAGCUUUUAUAACCUAAAAAGACAAAAAGACCCUAUAGAGCUUUAUUUCUAAUAAAAAAAUAUAAAUUUUUACUUUAAAAGAAAUUUGGUUGGGGCAACCAGAGUUAUUAAUAACUCUUAUUAUUAAAUAACAAAUCCGUAAUAUUAUAUCACCUCUUAGCAUUAAAAAACAAGUUACCUUAGGGAUAACAGCGUUCUCCUCUUUUAGAGCUCAAAUCGAAAAGAGGGCUUAC
This 374-nucleotide ribosomal RNA is filed under the name Amphimeniidae sp. 2 FSB-2019. Its description in RNAcentral is "partial large subunit ribosomal RNA". It matches the Rfam family "Bacterial large subunit ribosomal RNA", at positions 1914 to 2521 of the family's 2925-position model. Lineage: Eukaryota; Metazoa; Mollusca; Solenogastres; Cavibelonia; Amphimeniidae. The record is from RNAcentral.